This is a non-coding RNA of Ornithorhynchus anatinus (platypus), 133 nucleotides long. The record is from Rfam. Lineage: Eukaryota; Metazoa; Chordata; Mammalia; Monotremata; Ornithorhynchidae.
UUGGAGGAUUAAGAAAGUCGAGUCAUUGCAGUCCAGCAGGUUCGACUGAUACGCUCCUCCUACAUGAAAAAGGUAGAGGAACAGGCCCUGGGUGCCAGGUCGACUCUGGGCCUACUUACUCUACCUACAGUGA